GGCCAAGAGCCAGUAUGGUGUAAUGGCUUGGACCUUGGAACUGGAGACCAGGGUUCAAAUCCCUGCUUGGCCA
This is a non-coding RNA of Phrynosoma platyrhinos (Desert horned lizard), 73 nucleotides long. The record is from the annotation of a GenBank genome assembly. NCBI's taxonomy places the organism in Eukaryota, Metazoa, Chordata, Lepidosauria, Squamata, Phrynosomatidae.